This 253-nucleotide ribosomal RNA is filed under the name uncultured Eubacteriales bacterium. RNAcentral's name for it is "uncultured Clostridiales bacterium partial 16S ribosomal RNA". It matches the Rfam family "Bacterial small subunit ribosomal RNA", at positions 524 to 776 of the family's 1533-position model. Lineage: Bacteria; Bacillati; Bacillota; Clostridia; Eubacteriales. The record is from RNAcentral.
UACGUAGGUGGCAAGCGUUAUCCGGAUUUACUGGGUGUAAAGGGUGAGUAGGCGGCAUGGUAAGCCAGAUGUGAAAGCCUUGGGCUUAACCCGAGGAUUGCAUUUGGAACUAUCAAGCUAGAGUACAGGAGAGGAAAGCGGAAUUCCUAGUGUAGCGGUGAAAUGCUUAGAUAUCGCGCAGAACCCCGAUUGCGAAGGCAGCGUACCGGCUCCACACUGACGCUGAGGCACGAAAGCGUGGGGAUCGAACAGG